CAUGCAAGUCGUACGAGAGUUUUUAACUCUAGUGGCGGACGGGUGAGUAACACGUAAGAAUUUACCUUUAGGAGGGGGAUAACAACUGGAAACGGCUGCUAAUACCCCAUAUGCUUUUCGAGUGAAAUGGAUUUCCGCCUAAAGAGAAGCUUGCGGCUGAUUAGCUUGUUGGUGAGGUAAUGGCUUACCAAGGCGACGAUCAGUAUCUGGUUUGAGAGGACGAUCAGACACACUGGAACUGAGACACGGUCCAGACUCCUACGGGAGGCAGCAGUGGGGAAUCUUCCGCAAUGGGCGAAAGCCUGACGGAGCAAUACCGCGUGAGGGAUGACGGCCUAUGGGUUGUAAACCUCUUUUUUCAGGGAGGAACAAAAUGACGUGUACCUGAAGAAUAAGCAUCGGCUAACUCCGUGCCAGCAGCCGCGGUAAGACGGAGGAUGCAAGUGUUAUCCGGAAUCACUGGGCGUAAAGCGUCUGUAGGUGGUUUAAUAAGUCAACUGUUAAAUAUUGAGGCUCAACCUCGAAAUCGCAGUUGAAACUAUUAGACUGGAGUAUAGUAGGGGUAAAGGGAAUUUCCAGUGGAGCGGUGAAAUGCGUAGAGAUUGGAAAGAACACCGAUGGCGAAGGCACUUUACUGGGCUAUUACUAACA
This 651-nucleotide ribosomal RNA is filed under the name uncultured bacterium. RNAcentral describes it as "bacterial SSU rRNA". It matches the Rfam family "Bacterial small subunit ribosomal RNA", at positions 54 to 745 of the family's 1533-position model. The record is from RNAcentral.